This 270-nucleotide ribosomal RNA is filed under the name uncultured bacterium. RNAcentral's name for it is "partial 16S ribosomal RNA". It matches the Rfam family "Bacterial small subunit ribosomal RNA", at positions 30 to 298 of the family's 1533-position model. The record is from RNAcentral.
AUUGAACGCUGGCGGCAUGCUUUACACAUGCAAGUCGAGCGGCAGCGCGGGGGCAACCCUGGCGGCGAGCGGCGAACGGGUGAGUAAUACAUCGGAACGUAUCCCGUAGUGGGGGAUAACCCGGCGAAAGCCGGGCUAAUACCGCAUAUGCUCUACGGAGGAAAGUGGGGGACCUGUGAGGGCCUCACGCUAUGGGAGCGGCCGAUGUCCGAUUAGCUAGUUGGUGGGGUAAAGGCCUACCAAGGCGACGAUCGGUAGCUGGUCUGAGAG